AAUUUUCCUUUUUAAUAGAUGAACCACAACUCAUGAUGCUGAGCCAAUAGUAUGAGUACUCUUACAGACUCACACCUUGGACAUGUGAAGAACAUGCCAAUGCGUUUAUUUCUCAUCCCCUGGAUCUGCAGCAUAAGCAGAAGUACGUUGACCAAUUUGUUGUGAGGCCCUGAAGCCCACGACGCUGAUCAUCGAAAGCAGAGAUGACGACUGAACCUUGCCAUCAAUUUGGUCAUACCGAACACGACAUGUUCACGCAAAGCAGAUGAAGCUUCUCCUGAUGUGGCAGCGGCAGCAAUUAGGUAUCAUUCCACACACUUUGUGUUAAGAAACUCACAUGAUACAAGCUAGUGGUGACUUGUUAACAUUUGCGUGUGCGAUGAGCACUAGCGGGGGACGACCCUACGUUAAUUGCUAUGAUUGUUGUCCCACUAUCUCCCAUAUGUGCCUCGAGCAGAACACCUGCCGCCGGAAAAUUAUGUGUUAAAAUACAUUCCUGAUGGCUAUCCUGAAUCUAGAUCACGAGCAAUGCUACUUCCAAUAUAAGGUGCAAGUAUCCUGAAGCACAUGUUAUAGGAACCUUUUAUUUCCGUUCAUCUACCCAAAAACGUGUCUAUGUGUAUGGACAACAUAUUCAGCACCUGCCAGUUCUAUUAUCUCACUUCAAACUUUUGACUCCUUCCAUUGUGAAUUGUACUUUAUUAUUUAACGUAUAUGGAAUUUUAAGCAAAGCAUCAAAUAAAUAUGCUCGUUGUUUUUAUGCCA
Molecule: long non-coding RNA, 765 nt
Organism: Setaria italica (foxtail millet)
Lineage: Eukaryota; Viridiplantae; Streptophyta; Magnoliopsida; Poales; Poaceae
Exons: 2
Source: RefSeq, a predicted model, not a curated record